Molecule: long non-coding RNA, 476 nt
Organism: Helianthus annuus (common sunflower)
Lineage: Eukaryota; Viridiplantae; Streptophyta; Magnoliopsida; Asterales; Asteraceae
Exons: 3
Source: RefSeq, a predicted model, not a curated record
ACACACAUUGUGUGUGUGUUUGGUCGAACAACAUCAGGAGCAAAAAGGGGGUUCCCUUCCAAGAACCCUAACUCACGAAAAUUGCCAAAAUCAAAGAGAAAUCGAGCCGGGAAAUUGGGGCUUUUAAAAAAGUCGUGAUCACCAAGCUUAGGGGAUCACAAGUUUGACUCUUGACAAGCUGGAUGGAGGCUUGGGAGGAAGCGGGUCAAACAGAGCGAGUACGAAAAGAAAACGUUGCUUGGAUGCGAGGUUUACUUUUGAAGUGUCGGAUGAUGAUCAAACCCGACGAAGAACCGAACACACGAGAUCAAAGCUUCCGCGAAUAGUUUCGUCGUCACGUCUCAAACAGCGAAUUAAAUUACAAAAUGUUGGAAUGUUUUAUUUAGUGAAAUGUUUUAACAAACUCGUAUUUUUAAGUGUAUGUUUAAUAUUAUUACACUAUAAUUAAUCAAAAUUUAUUGGAUAAAUGGUUAAAA